Molecule: long non-coding RNA, 1485 nt
Filed under: Homo sapiens (human)
Lineage: Eukaryota; Metazoa; Chordata; Mammalia; Primates; Hominidae
Description: POPDC1 antisense RNA 1
Source: RNAcentral
GUUUUCAAACAGGGGUACUUAACCGAAACUAGCAAUCCCAGGCGGUACAAGGCCCUCCAUCGUAGGCAAAGCACUACCUGAAUGUAGAUUUGGGCCAUACGUUGGAAAAUAAGACAUGAGAGUAUGCUCCGAUCAACUUUUACUGUUCACUGGACAACUAUUUUGGGAAUUUGCAGACCUAUAAAGCCCAUCUAUAAAUCUCAAGCAUGUCCACUUUCAGAGAAGAGAAAUGCUGACAACCAUUUAGUCUCUGAGGACAACACUUUUAAAGGACUCCAUCAUAGGACUGGAGAGAGAUUGGAUGUCAGAGUGAUUGAUGUGCUCCUACUGGAAGAAGGCAAACAUCCAUAUGUGAACUGCCUGUGGGGUUUCCAAGGAAAGGAACGGCAGGCAGCCUCUAUGAGCUUAAAGAAGAUAACUGGGACUUUAGUCCUAUAACCUCAAGGAACAGUAUUCUGUGAACCAUCUGAGAAGCUUGGAAGAGGACCCCAAACUCCAAAUAAGAAGCUCAGUGUGUCUGACACCUUGACUGCAGGCUUGGGAGGUCCUGAGCAGAAGAUCCAGUUCAACAGUGCCUGGACUCCUGAUCCACAAAAACUGAUAACAAAUAUUUAUUGUUUUAAGAUGCUAAGUUUGUAGUCAUUUUUUAUACAGCAACAGAAAACUAAACACACACAUAAACAGUUAUAAGUGCUCACUGUAUAUGAGGCUUUUCAUUAAUAAUCUAUAUUUUAUAAUAGAAUUAGAAUAUAGAUCUGUGAAGCUGAAGACACUCAAUCCUUGCUAGAUUUAAAUCAGGAAAAUCAGCUGAGAAUCAUUCCUUGAUAGAACCUGGAAAACAAGACCCUAUGAGAGACCCUGGGAAUUACAUUAAAUUCACUGUGGUUCCCAGUGUCACUGAAGAGGUUUUCCUUUCAUAGUCAGGUAGUCACCAUACUGUUAAGCAUUUGAACACAUGGGCAACUUCCAGAAUAGUUAUGACAUUGAUAUACCAAUCUCCAAAAUUCCUAGAAUACCAUGUUUUCAUGGUUGACCUUCAAAUCAGUCAGUUCUUUGUAACAUUGAGCCAUAAAGAUAGGGCAAAUACUUAAUGUUUUACAUAUAUUCAGAGAUUGACCCUCAAAAUACAGCCCAGAGAAACUCAAAAGAAUUAACUCUAUUUCUUCAAAUUGUGUGACGCCACCAAGGCCAGAUGACUUCAGCAUUGGGAAGGCAAUAUCCAGCUGUCAUCUUCUUGAUCCUCAUAUGCUACUACUAGCAUCUAGCAUUUACUGAGCAGAUAGUUUUAUUGUCCAGUUUUUAAAGAUAAGAAAAUUGAGGUAUUAGGAAAGUUAAGUUGGUUGCCUAGGGAAACACGAAGAUAUAGCCCAGAUUCACUCCCAGGCAGGCAGAUGCCAGUGUCUGCUCUCUUUACCACCGAAAUAUCCUGCUACAUGUACAAUUUCAAUAAAUAUCUGGACUUACUGGAACAAAACAAAUCAACAA